UCCUGGGUGGCUCAGUUGGUUGAGCGCCAGACUUCAGCUCAGGUCAUGAUCUCACAGUUCGUGGGUUUGAGACCCACCUCAGGUU
This 85-nucleotide transfer RNA is filed under the name Felis catus (domestic cat). It matches the Rfam family "tRNA". Rfam says of the family: Transfer RNA (tRNA) molecules are approximately 80 nucleotides in length. Lineage: Eukaryota; Metazoa; Chordata; Mammalia; Carnivora; Felidae. The record is from Rfam by way of RNAcentral.